RNAcentral lists this ribosomal RNA (234 nucleotides) under uncultured bacterium. RNAcentral's name for it is "partial 16S ribosomal RNA". It matches the Rfam family "Bacterial small subunit ribosomal RNA", at positions 15 to 244 of the family's 1533-position model. The record is from RNAcentral.
GAUCCUGGCUCAGGACGAACGCUGGCGGCGCGCCUAACACAUGCAAGUCGAACGAGAGAGAAGGAGCUUGCUUCUUCGAUCGAGUGGCGAACGGGUGAGUAACGCGUGAGGAACCUGCCUCAAAGAGGGGGACAGCAGUUGGAAACGACUGCUAAUACCGCAUAAGCCCACGGGUCGGCAUCGAUCUGGGGGAAAAGGAGCAAUCCGCUUUGAGAUGGCCUCGCGUCCGAUUAG